GUCUUUUUGAUAAUAAUUUAAAGUCUGGCCUGCCCAAUGAUAAUUUAAAUGGCCGCGGUAUUUUGACCGUGCAAAGGUAGCAUAAUCAUUAGUUUUUUAAUUGAAAGCUUGUAUGAAAGGUUGAACGAGAAAAUUACUGUCUCAAUUUUAUUUAAUAAGAAUUUUAUUUUUAAGUUAAAAAGCUUAAAUAAUUUUAAAAGACGAGAAGACCCUAUAGAGUUUUAUAUUUUUAAUAAUAGAUUUUUAAAUUAUUUAUUUAAUUAUUUAGAAUAUUUUAUUGGGGUGAUAAAUAAAUUUAAUAAACUUUAUUUUUUUUAAAACAUUUAUUUAUGUUAAUAAUGAUCCAAAUUUUUUGAUUAUAAGAUUAAAUUACCUUAGGGAUAACAGCGUAAUUUUUUUUGAGAGUUCAUAUCGAAAAGAAAGAUUGCGACCUCGAUGUUGGAUUAAAAUUUAUUUUUGGUGUAGAAGCUAAAAAAUUAAGUCUGUUCGACUUUUAAAAUUUUACAUGAUCUGAGUUUAAACCGGUGUGAGCCAGGUUGGUUUCUAUCUUUAAAUAAUAGAAAAUAUUUUAGUACGAAAGGACCAAAUAUUUAUAAAAUUUAUUUUGUUAUUGAAUAUUAUUGUUAUUUUGGCAGAUUAGUGCAUUAAAUUUAGAAUUUAAUUAUGUAAUUUAUUACAAAUAAUACUUGUUUUAUAAGGAUUUAAUUUUAAUAUUUAUUAGAAGUUUAUUAUUAGUAAUUUGUAUUUUAAUU
This 752-nucleotide ribosomal RNA is filed under the name Ochthebius subinteger. Its description in RNAcentral is "partial large subunit ribosomal RNA". The stretch from base 1 to 575 matches the Rfam family "Bacterial large subunit ribosomal RNA", at positions 1819 to 2925 of the family's 2925-position model. The record is from RNAcentral. Lineage: Eukaryota; Metazoa; Arthropoda; Insecta; Coleoptera; Hydraenidae.